UACGAAGGGGGCUAGCGUUGUUCGGAAUUACUGGGCGUAAAGCGCGCGCAGGCGGCUAUCCAAGUCAGUGGUGAAAGCCCGGAGCUCAACUCCGGAACUGCCAUUGAAACUGUUCAGCUUGAGGAUGAGAGAGGUGAGUGGAAUUCCCAGUGUAGAGGUGAAAUUCGUAGAUAUUGGGAAGAACACCGGUGGCGAAGGCGGCUCACUGGCUCAUUACUGACGCUCAGGCGCGAUAGCGUGGGGAUCAAACAGG
RNAcentral lists this ribosomal RNA (253 nucleotides) under uncultured bacterium. RNAcentral describes it as "partial 16S ribosomal RNA". It matches the Rfam family "Bacterial small subunit ribosomal RNA", at positions 524 to 776 of the family's 1533-position model. The record is from RNAcentral.